Molecule: ribosomal RNA, 347 nt
Filed under: uncultured bacterium
Lineage: Bacteria
Description: partial 16S ribosomal RNA
Rfam family: Bacterial small subunit ribosomal RNA
Source: RNAcentral
CCUACGGGAGGCAGCAGUGGGGAAUAUUGGGCAAUGGGCGCAAGCCUGACCCAGCAACGCCGCGUGAAGGAAGAAGGCUUUCGGGUUGUAAACUUCUUGUAAGAGGGAAGAGCAGAAGACGGUACCUCUGGAAUAAGCCACGGCUAACUACGGGCCAGCAGCCGCGGUAAUACGUAGGUGGCAAGCGUUGUCCGGAUUUACUGGGUGUAAAGGGCGUGCAGCCGGGAAGACAAGUCAGAUGGGAAAUCCCGCGGCUCAACCGCGGAACUGCAUUGUAAACUGUUUUUCUUGAGUACCGGAGCGGUCAUCGGCCUUCCUUUUGUAGCGGUGAAAUGCGUCGAUAUAAG